This is a long non-coding RNA of Cervus elaphus (red deer), 231 nucleotides long. RefSeq lists it as uncharacterized. The record is from RefSeq and is a predicted model, not a curated record. Lineage: Eukaryota; Metazoa; Chordata; Mammalia; Artiodactyla; Cervidae. The transcript has 3 exons.
GGUGGGCUAUAGUCCAUGGGGAUAGCUUAUGGUGAACAAUGUCAGAUUCAUGAUCACUGAAGAAGAUUUAGCUUUGGGACCAGGGACCAAGCUUGGUCACUCAAGAGGUUUUGUGUAACAGAGUUUUAUUAAAGUAAGAAAAGGGGCAGACAAAGCUUCUGACAUAGACAUCAGAAGGAGGAUGGAGAAUGCCCCCCUUCCUGGUGUUAGCAAGGGAGUUAUAUACUUUUU